UACAGAGGGUGCAAGCGUUAAUCGGAAUUACUGGGCGUAAAGCGCGCGUAGGCGGAUAAAUAAGUUGGGUGUGAAAUCCCUGGGCUUAACCUAGGAAUUGCAUUCAAAACUGUUUGUCUAGAGUACAGGAGAGGAGGGCAGAAUUUCCGGUGUAGCGGUGAAAUGCGUAGAUAUCGGAAGGAAUACCAGUGGCGAAGGCGGCCCUCUGGACUGUGACUGACGCUGAGGUGCGAAAGCGUGGGGAGCAAGCGGG
Molecule: ribosomal RNA, 253 nt
Filed under: uncultured bacterium
Lineage: Bacteria
Description: partial 16S ribosomal RNA
Rfam family: Bacterial small subunit ribosomal RNA
Source: RNAcentral